GACGGUACCUAACCAGAAAGCCACGGCUAACUACGUGCCAGCAGCCGCGGUAAUACGUAGGUGGCAAGCGUUGUCCGGAAUUAUUGGGCGUAAAGGGCUCGCAGGCGGUUUCUUAAGUCUGAUGUGAAAGCCCCCGGCUCAACCGGGGAGGGUCAUUGGAAACUGGGGAACUUGAGUGCAGAAGAGGAGAGUGGAAUUCCACGUGUAGCGGUGAAAUGCGUAGAGAUGUGGAGGAACACCAGUGGCGAAGGCGACUCUCUGGUCUGUAACUGACGCUGAGGAGCGAAAGCGUGGGGAGCGAACAGGAUUAGAUACCCUGGUAGUCCACGCCGUAAACGAUGAGUGCUAAGUGUUAGGGGGUUUCCGCCCCUUAGUGCUGCAGCUAACGCAUUAAGCACUCCGCCUGGGGAGUACGGUCGCAAGACUGAAACUCAAAGGAAUUGACGGGGGCCCGCACAAGCGGUGGAGCAUGUGGUUUAAUUCGAAGCAACGCGAAGAACCUUACCAGGUCUUGACAUCCUCUGACAAUCCUAGAGAUAGGACGUCCCCUUCGGGGGCAGAGUGACAGGUGGUGCAUGGUUGUCGUCAGCUCGUGUCGUGAGAUGUUGGGUUAAGUCCCGCAACGAGCGCAACCCUUGAUCUUAGUUGCCAGCAUUCAGUUGGGCACUCUAAGGUGACUGCCGGUGACAAACCGGAGGAAGGUGGGGAUGACGUCAAAUCAUCAUGCCCCUUAUGACCUGGGCUACACACGUGCUACAAUGGACAGAACAAAGGGCAGCGAAACCGCGAGGUUAAGCCAAUCCCACAAAUCUGUUCUCAGUUCGGAUCGCAGUCUGCAACUCGACUGCGUGAAGCUGGAAUCGCUAGUAAUCGCGGAUCAGCAUGCCGCGGUGAAUA
Molecule: ribosomal RNA, 897 nt
Filed under: Bacillus velezensis
Lineage: Bacteria; Bacillati; Bacillota; Bacilli; Caryophanales; Bacillaceae
Description: bacterial SSU rRNA
Rfam family: Bacterial small subunit ribosomal RNA
Source: RNAcentral